Molecule: ribosomal RNA, 847 nt
Filed under: uncultured Acidobacteriota bacterium
Lineage: Bacteria; Pseudomonadati; Acidobacteriota
Description: bacterial SSU rRNA
Rfam family: Bacterial small subunit ribosomal RNA
Source: RNAcentral
AAAGCCCCGCAAGGGGUAAGUAGAGUGGCAAACGGGUGAGUAACACGUGGGUGACCUGCCUUAGAGUGGGGGAUAACGUCCCGAAAGGGACGCUAAUACCGCAUAACAUCCUGCCUUUGAAGAGGUGGAGAUCAAAGCCGGGGACCGCAAGGCCCGGCGCUUAAAGAGGGGCCCGCGCCUGAUUAGCUAGUUGGUGAGGUAAUGGCUCACCAAGGCAACGAUCAGUAUCCGGCCUGAGAGGGCGGACGGACACACUGGGACUGAGACACGGCCCAGACUCCUACGGGAGGCAGCAGUGGGGAAUUGUUCGCAAUGGGCGCAAGCCUGACGACGCAACGCCGCGUGGAGGAUGAAGACCUUCGGGUCGUAAACUCCUUUCGAUCGAGACGAACAGCCAUCGGGUGAACAAUCCGGAGGUUUGACGGUACCGAGAGAAGAAGCCCCGGCUAACUCCGUGCCAGCAGCCGCGGUAAUACGGGGGGGGCAAGCGUUGUUCGGAAUUACUGGGCGUAAAGGGCUCGUAGGUUGCCAACUAAGUCAGACGUGAAAUCCCUCGGCUUAACCGGGGAACUGCGUCUGAUACUGGAUGGCUUGAGUUCGGGAGAGGGAUGCGGAAUUCCAGGUGUAGCGGUGAAAUGCGUAGAUAUCUGGAGGAACACCGGUGGCGAAGGCGGCAUCCUGGACCGACACUGACACUGAGGAGCGAAAGCCAGGGGAGCAAACGGGAUUAGAUACCCCGGUAGUCCUGGCCCUAAACGAUGAAUGCUUGGUGUGGCGGGUAUCGAUCCCUGCCGUGCCGAAGCUAACGCAUUAAGCAUUCCGCCUGGGGAGUACGGUCGCAAGGCUG